UCAAGUGAAUAAGAGCAUAAGGCGGAUGCCUUGGCACUGGGAGCCGACGAAGGACGUGACAAGCUGCGAUAAGCUACGGGGAGGAGCACAUAUCCGUCAAUCCGUAGAUUUCCGAAUGGGGGAACCCACCUAUAGUAAUGUGUAGGUAUUUUCGUAUGAAUCUAUAGUACGAAUAAAGGCAACCCGGGGAACUGAAACAUCUAAGUACCCGGAGGAAGAGAAAGAAAAAUCGAUUUCCUAAGUAGCGGCGAGCGAAAGGGAAAGAGGCCAAACCGUUAGUUUACUAACGGGGUUGUGGAUCACAGCCGUGGUAGAUACAAGUUUAGCAGAAGACAACUGGAAAGUUUGCGACACAGAGGGUAAUAUCCCCGUAUGCGAAAAAUGAGUAUCACCUAUGUGACACCAGAGUAGGACCGAACACGUGGAAUUCGGUUUGAAGCCGGGGGGCCCACCCCCCAAGCCUAAAUACUACCCAGUGACCGAUAGUGAAUAGUACCGUGAGGGAAAGGUGAAAAGGACCCCGGGAGGGGAGUGAAAUAGAACCUGAAACCUUAUGCUUACAAGCAGAGGGAGCGCAAGUGACCUCGUACUUUUUGUAGAACGGGCCAACGAGUUAUGGUAUGCAGCGAGGUUAAGGUGCUGGAGCACUGGAGCCGUAGAGAAAUCGAGUCUGAAAGGGCGAAAGUUGCAUGCUGUAGACCCGAAACCGGGUGAUCUAUCCAUGUCCAGGUUGAAGUAACUGUAAUAGGUUAUGGAGGACCGAACUUAUAUCUGUUGAAAAAGGUUAGGAUGAGGUGUGGAUAGGGGUGAAAUUCCAAUCGAACUCGGAUAUAGCUGGUUCUCCUCGAAAUAGCUUUAGGGCUAGCCUCAAGGUAAAGAUACACGGGGGUAGAGCACUGACUGUUCGCGGGGCCUUCACCGGUUACCAACAACUAUCAAACUCCGAAUACCGUGGUAUCAUACUUGGGAGUCAGACUAUGAGAGAUAAGUUCCAUGGUCGAAAGGGAAACAGCCCAGAUCAACAGCUAAGGUCCCAAAGAGUAAGUUAAGUGGAAAAGGAUGUGGGAUUGCACAAACAGCUAGGAUGUUGGCUUAGAAGCAGCCAUACAUUUAAAGAGUGCGUAAUAGCUCACUAGUCGAGUGAUCCUGCGCCGAAGAUAAACGGGGCUCAAACUUACCACCGAAGCUUUGGAAUUAGUAUAACUAAUUGGUAGAGGAGCAUUCUAUACAGGUAGAAGGAGGCGCGUAAGCAAAUCUGGACGGUAUAGAAGAGAGAAUGUUGGCAUGAGUAGCGUAAGGCGGGUGAGAAUCCCGUCCGCCUAAAAUCUAAGGUUUCCUGAGGAAGGUUCGUCCUCUCAGGGUAAGUCGGGACCUAAGCCGAGAGCGAACGCUGUAGGCGAUGGACAACAGGUUGAUAUUCCUGUACCACCAAGGAUUGUUUGAAUGAAGUGGGGACACAGAAGGAUAGAUUGAGCACGCCGUUGGUUGAGCGUGUCCAAGCAGCAAGGCUUGAAAGUAGGCAAAUCCGCUUUCUACAAGGCUGAGCUGUGAUGGGGUGGUCGAAUGACCGGUAGCAAUCGAUUUCACGCUGUCAAGAAAAGCCGCUAAUGAGAUCCAAGGUGCCCGUACCGCAAACCGACACAGGUAGAUGAGGAGAGAAUCCUAAGGUGAGCGAGCGAACUAUUGUUAAGGAACUCGGCAAAAUAACCCCGUAACUUCGGGAGAAGGGGUGCCUGCUUCGGCAGGCCGCAGUGAAAAGGCCCAGGCAACUGUUUACCAAAAACACAGGUCUCUGCAAAAGCGAAAGCUGAAGUAUAGGGGCUGACGCCUGCCCGGUGCUGGAAGGUUAAGGGGACGUGUCAUCGCAAGAGAAGCACUGAACUUAAGCCCCAGUAAACGGCGGCCGUAACUAUAACGGUCCUAAGGUAGCGAAAUUCCUUGUCGGGUAAGUUCCGACCCGCACGAAAGGCGUAAUGAUCUGGACACUGUCUCAACAAUAGGCUCGGUGAAAUUGUAGUACCGGUAAAGAUGCCGGUUACCCGCAGCAGGACGGAAAGACCCCGUGGAGCUUUACUGUAGCUUGAUAUUGAGUUUCGGCGUUGCAUGUACAGGAUAGGUGGGAGACUAUGAAGCAAGUACGCCAGUAUUUGCGGAGUCAUCGUUGGGAUACCACCCUUGUAACGCUGGAAUUCUAACCAUGUACCGUGAUCCGGUGCUGAGACAGUGUCAGGUGGGCAGUUUGACUGGGGCGGUCGCCUCCUAAAGAGUAACGGAGGCGUUCAAAGGU
Molecule: ribosomal RNA, 2287 nt
Filed under: human metagenome
Description: bacterial LSU rRNA
Rfam family: Bacterial large subunit ribosomal RNA
Source: RNAcentral